RNAcentral lists this long non-coding RNA (612 nucleotides) under Rosa chinensis. RNAcentral's name for it is "sRNA RchiOBHm_Chr2g0112731". The record is from RNAcentral. Lineage: Eukaryota; Viridiplantae; Streptophyta; Magnoliopsida; Rosales; Rosaceae.
CCGGAGAUUUCGUCGCCGUCCGGCCACCCCAGGACGAACCGUUUGGCAUGGCGUGAUCCUCUCCUCCUUCUCUACCUAGUCAUCUCGUUUUGAUCGGUGGAGGAAGAUUUGAAGGUGUUUGAGAAUGUGAACAGUACUGUGAACAGUAACUAUCGAAUUCUUGGGUUCUUGUUUGAUUUUUCUGGACAUUUCUACUUAAAUUUGGUUGUUGUUGCAGGUCGUACUGAUCCCUCGAGCGAGGAGGACACAGGCAGGCAGCAGGGUUAGCUGCGAGACUCACCUAUUUCAUAUUUGCCGAGAUCGCGUCCAGGAACUUGAGGCAUAGGAAUCAGCGCUUCCGUUUUGUCCGUAGGUUAUUACUUAACCUACCUUGUAUGAUAUCAGCUUAGUUGUGUAUAUCUGCUCUGAUAACCAAUUUACUUUGGAGAAUGUUAAUGUUUGAGAAGCUAUUAUCGUAGUGAAGUUAAGGUGACACUUGUGCUAUCGGAAUGUAACAUUUUCACUUGGAAUGUAAAUAUUGGAAUGUAUCUAGGAGUGGGAGGUUCUGUCGAUUUUUCGGUAGGAUUUCACUUAAAGUGGGUCCCACAGGCUCGUAUCCGGGUUUCGGGGUGA